AGCUGUGAUGAGUAAGAGAGUAUGACCCGGUAUUGCAAGAGUUAAUUUUGCAUUGACCAGGAAAUGAUCACCUAAUCUUCUCUCUGAGCUG
This is a small nucleolar RNA of Bufo bufo (common toad), 91 nucleotides long. RefSeq annotates it as Z30 small nucleolar RNA. Lineage: Eukaryota; Metazoa; Chordata; Amphibia; Anura; Bufonidae. The transcript has a single exon. The record is from RefSeq and is a predicted model, not a curated record.